AUGAACUGCGACAUGGAGGAGAAAGGGAUUGUACUCCGGGAGCUGAGCUGCCAGACUCUCCUCCAUGUCUCCUCCUCCGGACUACGGCGGCAGUCCGGCAGCUCCGGUGGGGGGAGGCAGUCCAGCAGAGAAAGGGAUUGUACUCCCGGAGCUGAGCUGCAGCCAAGUUCCCCCUGCCGGAGCUGCUCGUCCGCUGGUCCACAAAAUCUCUGGCCCUCUCUCAACAGGCUGACCCAAGGCUGCUGUGUGGCGCUGCGGACGCUACUUCCGGGUAGCCGGCUUGGUUUGGUUAGCAGGACGCUUAAGGUCUACCUGCUAUUUUCGGUUUAUAUCUAUUUUUCCGCUAUUUAUAUCUGCGUCCUGUUCUGCAUACUCUGUAUUGUAUUCGCUAUUUCCUCGUUGGAGCUCUGUCUGCAUCAACCAAGUAAUGGCAACAUAGAUGAAGCUCGAACCAUUGAGGAGGCACGCUACGCUGUUUGCUAUUCGCGGUUUCAGAAAGGUGGCUGGGUAGUCCGCCCCAUCAAGGAGAAACCAUCUUACGGUUAGUCGUUUCACUUAGUUUCUCAAUAUCUUUUAUGUCAAUCUAUCUUUUUUUAUGCAAGUCAAUCAUGUUCCUGAUUGUGUUCUUAACAUUUCUCUCCUCAAGGAUAUGCAACAAAUCUUAUGGUCUCUCUGGUAGAGGAAUACUCUAGAUCACCACAGGCCCUACUAGAAAGCAGUGCUGUCUUGUCUUGUGCUGCCCCGCCCCCCCUCACCACUUCCCUCCAGAAGGUUGCCAAGGAUGAGGCAGUCAGGCUCCAUCUCGCACGACACUCGCGUUUUAACGUGUAAUAAAACAUACGUGAAAGAAAUUGGGAGAAAACGGGUAUCGGUACUCUUUAGUUCGUUUAUUAGUUACAAUGGAACUGAGUUGAUGGUAUAGUGUAUGAUGACAACAUCAGUGAAUGAGAUGAUGAGAAUAUAUUUUUGGACUAUUUAUUAUGCUACCUUUCUUCUUUUUUAACGACUCCAGUGUGUGAGUGCAUUGAAUUUCCCGUGCAAUGACAAAUAAAUCGAAUCUAAUCUAAU
Molecule: long non-coding RNA, 1068 nt
Filed under: Gadus morhua (Atlantic cod)
Lineage: Eukaryota; Metazoa; Chordata; Actinopteri; Gadiformes; Gadidae
Description: lncRNA (ENSGMOG00000028300.1)
Source: RNAcentral